Molecule: ribosomal RNA, 480 nt
Filed under: uncultured bacterium
Lineage: Bacteria
Description: partial 16S ribosomal RNA
Rfam family: Bacterial small subunit ribosomal RNA
Source: RNAcentral
GACGAACGCUGGCGGCGUGCUUAACACAUGCAAGUCGAGCGAUGAAGCACCUUCGGGUGUGGAUUAGCGGCGAACCGGUGAGGAACACGUGAGGAAUCUGCCUUUCACUUCGGGAUAACUCCGGGAAACCGGGGCUAAUACCGGAUAUUUUCAACUGGCGGCAUCGCCGGUUGAAGAAAGUUUUUCGGUGAAAGAUGACCUCGCGGCCUAUCAGCUUGGUGGUGAGGUAAUGGCUCACCAAGGCGACGACGGGUAGCCGGCCUGAGAGGGCGACCGGCCACACUGGGACUGAGACACGGCCCAGACUCCUACGGGAGGCAGCAGUGGGGAAUAUUGGGCAAUGGAGGAAACUCUGACCCAGCGACGCCGCGUGAGGGAUGAAGGCCUUCGGGUUGUAAACCUCUUUCAGCAGGGAAUAAGCGAAAGUGAAGGUACCUGCAGAAGAAGCACCGGCUAACUAUGUGCCAGCCGCCGCGGUAA